UUCGACGCAACGCGCAGAACCUUUACCUAGGCUUGACAUCCCGGGGAUUUUCUGGAAACAGAGAAGUGCUUUAGCAAUAAAGAACCCGGUGACAGGUUGCUGCAUGGCUGUCGUCAGCUCGUGUCGUGAGAUGUUGGGUUAAGUCCCGCAACGAGCGCAACCCUCGCCUUUAGUUGCCAGCAUUCAGUUGGGCACUCUAGAGGGACUGCCGGUGUCAAACCGGAGGAAGGUGGGAUGACGUCAAGUCCUCAUGGCCUUUAUGUCUAGGGCUACACACGUACUACAAUGGCCGGUACAAAGGGCAGCCACUCAGCGAUGAGGCGCUAAUCCCAUAAAGCCGGUCUCAGUCCGGAUCGCAGUCUGCAACUCGACUGCGUGAAGUUGGAAUCGCUAGUAAUCGUAGAUCAGUAUGCUACGGUGAAUACGUUCCCGGGCCUU
This 438-nucleotide ribosomal RNA is filed under the name uncultured Desulfovibrio sp. Its description in RNAcentral is "bacterial SSU rRNA". It matches the Rfam family "Bacterial small subunit ribosomal RNA", at positions 950 to 1382 of the family's 1533-position model. The record is from RNAcentral. Lineage: Bacteria; Pseudomonadati; Thermodesulfobacteriota; Desulfovibrionia; Desulfovibrionales; Desulfovibrionaceae.